This 243-nucleotide ribosomal RNA is filed under the name Enterobacter cloacae. RNAcentral's name for it is "partial 16S ribosomal RNA". It matches the Rfam family "Bacterial small subunit ribosomal RNA", at positions 1011 to 1254 of the family's 1533-position model. The record is from RNAcentral. RNAcentral also lists the same sequence under 4 other names. Lineage: Bacteria; Pseudomonadati; Pseudomonadota; Gammaproteobacteria; Enterobacterales; Enterobacteriaceae.
UUGGUGCCUUCGGGAACUCUGAGACAGGUGCUGCAUGGCUGUCGUCAGCUCGUGUUGUGAAAUGUUGGGUUAAGUCCCGCAACGAGCGCAACCCUUAUCCUUUGUUGCCAGCGGUCCGGCCGGGAACUCAAAGGAGACUGCCAGUGAUAAACUGGAGGAAGGUGGGGAUGACGUCAAGUCAUCAUGGCCCUUACGAGUAGGGCUACACACGUGCUACAAUGGCGCAUACAAAGAGAAGCGACC